RNAcentral lists this small nucleolar RNA (143 nucleotides) under Setaria italica (foxtail millet). RNAcentral's name for it is "Small nucleolar RNA Z247". It matches the Rfam family "Small nucleolar RNA Z247". From Rfam's summary of the family: Z247 is a member of the C/D class of snoRNA which contain the C (UGAUGA) and D (CUGA) box motifs. Most of the members of the box C/D family function in directing site-specific 2'-O-methylation of substrate RNAs. Lineage: Eukaryota; Viridiplantae; Streptophyta; Magnoliopsida; Poales; Poaceae. The record is from Rfam by way of RNAcentral.
CCCGUUGACGAUGAUGAGUUUGUCUCCUUUGUCCUCCUUGGCCUUGAUUUCGAUUAUAAUCCCAUUGUGUCAUCUGUCAUGGGUCGAACAGAUCCCAUCUCUCUGAAUGAAUGAUCUCUAUGCACAGCUUGUUGCAUAUGAGA